AUGCGAUAAGUAAUGUGAAUUGCAGAAUUCAGUGAAUCAUCGAAUCUUUGAACGCACAUUGCGCCCGCUAGUAUUCUGGCGGGCAUGCCUGUUCGAGCGUCAUUUCAACCAUCAAGCCCCGGGCUUGUGUUGGGGACCUGCGGCUGCCGCAGCCCCCGAAAAGCAGUGGCGGUCUCGCUGUCAUACCGAGCGCAGUAGUUUGUCUUCGCUCCGGGCGUGGCGGCGGGUGCCGGCCGUGAAACCACCAUCUCAAGGUUGACCUCGGAUCAGGUAGGAAUACCCGCUGAACUUAA
Molecule: unclassified non-coding RNA, 293 nt
Filed under: uncultured Sordariales
Lineage: Eukaryota; Fungi; Ascomycota; Sordariomycetes; Sordariales
Description: partial contains 5.8S ribosomal RNA, internal transcribed spacer 2, and large subunit ribosomal RNA
Rfam family: 5.8S ribosomal RNA (bases 1-102)
Source: RNAcentral